Molecule: microRNA precursor, 51 nt
Organism: Chlorocebus sabaeus (green monkey)
Lineage: Eukaryota; Metazoa; Chordata; Mammalia; Primates; Cercopithecidae
Source: Ensembl
CCUUCAGUCUAGGACUCAUUUUUCCCUUAAAUGAGUCCUAGACUGAAGGGA